RNAcentral lists this long non-coding RNA (2456 nucleotides) under Homo sapiens (human). RNAcentral's name for it is "HSALNT0119618". Lineage: Eukaryota; Metazoa; Chordata; Mammalia; Primates; Hominidae. The record is from RNAcentral.
UGGUAAUCCCAUGUGCUGGGGGAGGGACCUCAUGGGAGGUGUUUGGAUAAUGGGGGCGGUUCCCCCAUGCUGUUCUCAUGAUAGUAGGUGAGUUCUCAUAAGAUCUGAUGGUUUUAUAAGAGGCUCUUCCCUGUUUGCUCUGCACUUUUCUCUUCUGCUGCCUUAUGAAGAAAGAUGUGUUGCUUUCCUUUCCACCAUGAUGAGGUUCAUACCUGCAUUAUCAGCAGCAGCCAUUUCCCAGUGGACCAACCUGUCUUCAUCCAGGGAAGGCUGGGACACUUGCCAUGCUUCAAAGGAGCCACAAGCUUUCCAAAAGGAGCGGGAACAGCAGAAUGUAUCACGGUUGUGAUUUAUUCUCCAGUUGUGACUGACGAAUUAUUACAGCAAAUGACUUUGGGAAUUUAGAUCUGCUCCUGGGACUGUGCCUCGACCUAGAAUGCUUCUCAGGACCCUGAAUCAACUGGAUGAGAACUUAUGGGGACCUACCAGACUAUUUAAUAUCUUGCUUCAAACCUACUAAGAAUCCUAACUUCAAGCAUGGCCACUGCUCUGAAUCUCCUGUACCUGUGUCCCAUUUACCACCCCUAAGAUAAAAAGACUGACUGAUCCAAGUAAAGCUUGAGUUCAUGUCCACCCACCCUCAACAUCCAGGUUGGGAUUGCUGAGCACAACCCUAAGCUCACUGUCCCUCUCCAGUUCUGCUCUUCUCCCUUACUAAGAUACCAAGGCAACUACACUGUUGAGGUCCCAGAAGCCUCUCUGCCAAAUCAUUCUAAGAUAGGGAGAAGAGAAUCUGUGCAGUGAUUUGGGACAAUGAAUCUGUUGGGUGAAUAUAUCUGCUGCAUGCUGGGUCCCUGAGAGGCCCUGUGUCAUUUGGAGAGAUAGACAUCCUCUAUGGCCCAACUUAGGAGACCCAUCCUCUGGAGAUUUGCUUCAGCCACGCUAACUAAACACGCUCAUUGCCCCUUGAUUUCUUCUUUGAGGCCCUCAUAGGCAGUGAUCAAACAAUCAUUUGCAUAAUUUACAUUAUGACUUGCACACUCAGGUGAGUCCUCCACUCUACCAAGGGCAAGGGCUGUAUUUAAUUUGUUCACCUCUGUAUCCCUAGUGCCUGACACACAGAAAAUGCUUAAUAGAUGUUAGAUUAAUGAAUGAAUGAAUGAAUGAAGUAGCUGGCUGAGAAUUGUAUUAGAUUAACCAUGAUGCCUAAAUACAUAGUGUAAAUUAUUUCAUUCUAGAUUAAGCUUAAAAGUGUAAGAGAGGCAACUGUGUCACCUGAUUGAAAUAAUGAUUUGUUGCUAAUUAGUUAGAAAUAAAGAAAAUCAUGCAGAUAUGAUGAACUAUUUGACAUUUGGCAAAUUACCAUCUCUAAGUUUAUUUCUUUGCCUGUAAAAUAAAGAUACUAGAACUUACCUCAUGAGAAUAAAUGAAGGCUAAGUGGAUAAUAUACAUAAAAUGCUUAAGAUAUGUACCCAGCAUACCUUAAAUGCUUUGUAGCCAUUAUUAUUUACAUAUAUUUAUUUACAAUUAAAAAUUAUUUAAAAAGCGAAACAAAACCUAUAAUAAGUUUUAUUUUCUUAAUGCUUUGUCUUAGACUAGUUAGGCUGCUACAAAAGAAUAGCAAAGACUGGGUGGCUUAUAAAUAACAGAAAUUUAUUUCCCAAAGUUCUGGAGGCUGGAAAGUCCAAGGUCAAGGUGCCAGCAGAUUCAGUGUCUGGUGAGUGCCUGAUUCCAAGUUCAUAGAUAGAAGUCACCUCAUUGAGUCCUCACAUGGCAGAAGGGAUCAUGAAAUUUUCUGGAGUCUCUUUUAUAAGAAUAUUAAUACUAUUCAUGAGGGCUCUAUUCUCAUGAUGUACCUCCCAGAGGCCCUACCUCCUAGUAUCCUCAGACUGGGGGCUAGGAUUUCAACAUAUGAAUUUUGGGAGGACACAAACAUUCAGUCUAUAGCAUUCCACCCCUGAUAUCCCCAAAUUUAUGUACUUCUCACAUGCAAAAUACAUUCCUUCUAUCCAAACAGCCCCAAAAGUCUUCGCCUGUUCCAGCAUCAACUCAAAAAUCUAAAGUACAAAGUCUUAUCUAAAUAUUAUCUAAAUCAGAUUUUGGUGAGAUUCAAGAUACAAUUUAUUCUGAGGCAAAUUCCUCUCUAGCUGUGAAACUGUGAAAUCAAAUGUGUUGUGUGCCUCUCAGAAACAAAUCUGGGAUAUGCAUAAGAUAGACACAUCCAAUUCCAACAGGAUAAAUAAAUUGUAUCUUCACCAAUGGGAAAUGAGUCAUAACAACAAAGUUCAGCCAGCCAUUGGUGUAAACAUUUCCUCACAAAUUAGUGAGAAUUCCUGGAGCUCAGGCUUAACACAUAGGAACACCAUAAAGACUGAUUGGGUUUCAAUAAAACAUCAACAGUCCUCAUGAAAGAAGAAGGCAAACCUGACGAGCUAUGUGACUUUUGGCAAAUUACC